UUGGAGGGCAAGUCUGGUGCCAGCAGCCGCGGUAAUUCCAGCUCCAAUAGCGUAUAUUAAACUUGUUGCAGUUAAAAAGCUCGUAGUUGAAUUUGAGCUUGCGCGCGCAGCCGUUUUCGGAUUUCGCCGCUUGCUUUUUUGUUACUUUGAGAAAAUUAGAGUGUUUCAAGCAGACUUUUGUCUUGAAUACUUCAGCAUGGAAUAAUAGAGUAGGACCUUGGUUCUAUUUUGUUGGUUUUUGAGCCUUGGUAAUGGUUAAUAGGAACGGUUGGGGGCAUUCGUAUUUAACUGUCAGAGGUGAAAUUCUUAGAUUUGUUAAAGACGAACUAGUGCGAAAGCAUUUGCCAAGGACGUUUUCAUUAAUCAAGAACGAAAGUUAGGGGAUCGAAGACGAUCAGAUACCGU
RNAcentral lists this ribosomal RNA (405 nucleotides) under Babesia sp. RNAcentral describes it as "partial small subunit ribosomal RNA". It matches the Rfam family "Eukaryotic small subunit ribosomal RNA", at positions 548 to 1018 of the family's 1831-position model. RNAcentral also lists the same sequence under 1 other name. Lineage: Eukaryota; Apicomplexa; Aconoidasida; Piroplasmida; Babesiidae. The record is from RNAcentral.